The sequence is a ribosomal RNA, 435 nucleotides long. It matches the Rfam family "Bacterial small subunit ribosomal RNA", at positions 341 to 792 of the family's 1533-position model.
ACGGGAGGCAGCAGUGGGGAAUAUUGGGCAAUGGGCGCAAGCCUGACCCAGCAACGCCGCGUGAAGGAUGAAGGUCUUCGGAUUGUAAACUUCUUUGAUCAGGGACGAAUUUUGACGGUACCUGAAGAACAAGUCACGGCUAACUACGUGCCAGCAGCCGCGGUAAUACGUAGGUGACAAGCGUUGUCCGGAUUUACUGGGUGUAAAGGGCGUGUAGCCGGGGGAGCAAGUCAGAUGUGAAAUCUAUGGGCUUAACCCAUAAACUGCAUUUGAAACUGUUCUUCUUGAGUGCUGGAGGGGCAAUCGGAAUUCCUUGUGUAGCGGUGAAAUGCGUAGAUAUAAGGAGGAACACCAGUGGCGAAGGCGGAUUGCUGGACAGUAACUGACGGUGAGGCGCGAAAGUGUGGGGAGCAAACAGGAUUAGAUACCCUGGUA